GCGCGAGUAGCUCAAUUGGAUAGAGUGACGGCCUCCGAAGCCGCAGGUUGUGGGUUCGAUUCCCGCCUCGCGCACCA
Molecule: transfer RNA, 77 nt
Filed under: Candidatus Omnitrophota bacterium
Lineage: Bacteria; Pseudomonadati; Candidatus Omnitrophota
Description: tRNA-Arg
Rfam family: tRNA
About the family: Transfer RNA (tRNA) molecules are approximately 80 nucleotides in length. Their secondary structure includes four short double-helical elements and three loops (D, anti-codon, and T loops).
Source: RNAcentral